Molecule: transfer RNA, 73 nt
Filed under: Mus musculus (house mouse)
Lineage: Eukaryota; Metazoa; Chordata; Mammalia; Rodentia; Muridae
Description: tRNA-Ser
Source: RNAcentral
GGAGAGAUGGCUCAGUGGUUAAGAGCACCAACUGCUCUUCUGGAGGUCCUGAGUUCAAUUCCCAGCAACCACA